This 492-nucleotide ribosomal RNA is filed under the name uncultured bacterium. RNAcentral describes it as "partial 16S ribosomal RNA". It matches the Rfam family "Bacterial small subunit ribosomal RNA", at positions 29 to 507 of the family's 1533-position model. The record is from RNAcentral.
AGUGAACGCUGGCGGUAGGCCUAACACAUGCAAGUCGAACGGCAGCACAGUAAGAGCUUGCUCUUACGGGUGGCGAGUGGCGGACGGGUGAGGAAUACAUCGGAAUCUACUUUUUCGUGGGGGAUAACGUAGGGAAACUUACGCUAAUACCGCAUACGACCUACGGGUGAAAGCAGGGGAUCUUCGGACCUUGCGCGAUUGAAUGAGCCGAUGUCGGAUUAGCUAGUUGGCGGGGUAAAGGCCCACCAAGGCGACGAUCCGUAGCUGGUCUGAGAGGAUGAUCAGCCACACUGGAACUGGGACACGGUCCAGACUCCUACGGGAGGCAGCAGUGGGGAAUAUUGGACAAUGGGCGCAAGCCUGAUCCAGCCAUACCGCGUGGGUGAAGAAGGCCUUCGGGUUGUAAAGCCCUUUUGUUAGGAAAGAAAAGCAGCAGGUUAAUACCCCGCUGUUCUGACGGUACCCAAAGAAUAAGCACCGGCUAACUUCGUG